AAAACGGGAGAUAGAUAAACCAUGUUACUCUAUCGGUAAAAAGGUACGCCGGGGAUAACAGGUCGUAGAAUUUCAGGAGCUCUGAUCCUUGAAUUCUAUUAACACCUCCAUGUCGGCUCAUCACACCCUUGUACUUGAAGAAGGUUCAAUUAGGAACGAGAGUUCCCCGUGAUAUGUGAUACGUGAGCUGGGUUAAGAACGUCUUGAGGCAGUUUGUUCCCUAUCUGCCAUUUU
Molecule: non-coding RNA, 234 nt
Organism: Eimeria tenella
Lineage: Eukaryota; Apicomplexa; Conoidasida; Eucoccidiorida; Eimeriidae
Source: Rfam